RNAcentral lists this ribosomal RNA (508 nucleotides) under Dophla evelina. Its description in RNAcentral is "partial 16S ribosomal RNA". It matches the Rfam family "Bacterial large subunit ribosomal RNA", at positions 1846 to 2609 of the family's 2925-position model. Lineage: Eukaryota; Metazoa; Arthropoda; Insecta; Lepidoptera; Nymphalidae. The record is from RNAcentral.
UAAAGUCUAAUCUGCCCACUGAUAAUUAUAUUAAAGGGCUGCAGUAUAUUGACUGUACAAAGGUAGCAUAAUCAAUAGUCUUUUAAUUGAAGACUUGUAUGAAGGAUUUGAUGAGAUAUAAACUGUCUCUAAUUUAUUAUUGUAGAACUUAAUUUUUUAGUUAAAAAGCUAAAAUUUUUUUAAAAGACGAGAAGACCCUAUAGAGUUUUAUAUUUAUUUUAUUUAAGAUUAUAUUUAUAAUUAAAAAUUAAAAAUAAAUGUAAAUAUUUUGUUGGGGUGAUAAAAAAAUUAAAAUAACUUUUUUUAAAAAAUAACAAAAAUAAUUGAAAAAUUGAUCCAUAAUUUAUGAUUAAAAGAAAUAAUUACCUUAGGGAUAACAGCGUAAUAUUUUUUUUUAGUACAAAUAAAAAAAAAAGUUUGCGACCUCGAUGUUGGAUUAAGAUAAAAUUUAAAUGCAAAAGUUUAAAAUUUUGAUCUGUUCGAUCAUUAAAAUCUUACAUGAUCUGAG